GUAUCCGGUGUACCCCCAGAGGGUUCGAUUAUGGCUCAGAUUGAACGCUGGCGGGAUGCUUUACACAUACAAGUCAGACGGCCAGCACCCGGACUUCGGUCUGGUGGCGAGUGGCGAACGGGUGAGUAAUGUAUCGGAACGUGCCUAGUAGCGGGGGAUAACUACGCGAAAGCGUAGCUAAUACAUACGCCCUUCGAGGAAAGCGGGGACACCUUCGGGCCUCGCACUUAUUCGGCGAAGCCGAUAUCGGAUUAGCUAGUUGGUGGGAGUAACGGCUCACCAGGCGGCGAUCCGUAGCUGGUUUUGAGAGGACGACCAGCCACACUGGGACUGAGACACGGCCCAGACUCCUACAGGAGAGCAGCAAUUGAGAAUUUUGGACAAUGGGGGAAACCCCUGAUCCAGCCAUCCCGCGUGUGCGAUGAAGGCCUUCGGGUUGUAAAGCACUUUUGGCAGGAAAAACGGCACCGGGAUAAUGCCCGAUGCAACUGACAGUACCUGCAGAAUAAGCACCAGCUAACUACGUGCAGCAGCCGCGGUAAUACGUAGUGCAAGCGUUAAUCGGAAUUACUGGGCGUAAAGCGUGCGCAGGCGGUUCGGAAAGAAAGAUCUUAAAAAUCCCAGAGCAACUUUGGAACUGCAUUUUUUAACUACCGAGCUAGAGUGUGUCAGAGGGAGGUGAAUUCCGCAUGUGAUGAAAUGCGUAGAUAUGCAGGAGGAGCACCGAUAAGCGAAGGCACAUCUCAAGGAUGUACCGCGACGCUCAUGCACAGCGUGGGAGCAAAGAGCAAAGUUAGAUACCACAGUGAGUCCGCCUAAACGAUGUCAACUAGCUAUUUGGGGCCUUCGGGCCUUGGUAGCGCAGCUAACGCGUGAAAGUUGACCGCCGGAAGUACGGUCGCAAGAUUAAACUCAAAGGAAUUAGUAGGGACCCGCACUAAGCAGUGGAUGAUGGUUAAUUCGAUGCAACACUUGAAAAGGCAACACCUACCCGCGACAUGUCUGAUCCCGAAGAGAUUUGGGAGUGCUCGCAAGAGAACCGGAACACAGGUGCUGCAUGGCUGCAAUAAGUGGCUCGUGUCGUGAGAUGUUGGUUAAGUCCCGCAACGAGCGCAACCCUUGUCAUUGGUGCUACGAAGGGCACUCAAUAGACUGCCGGUGACAAAACGGAGGAAGGUGGGGAUGACGUCAAGUCCUCAUGGCCCUUGUAUGGGUAGGGGCUUCACGUCAUACAACGGUCGGGACAGAGGGUCUCCUUGCGAGGAAUAAUCCCGAGGAAGCGAUCGUAGUCCGGAUCGCAGUCACCUUCGGCGUGAAGUCGGAAUCGCUAGUAAUCGCGGAUCAUCAUGGUGAACUACGUUCCCGGGUCUUGUACACCGUCACCUGUAGGGUGGGUUUUACCCAGAAGUAGUUAGCUUCAACAGCGGGAGGCGAUUCUACGGUAGGAUUCGCAGCUGGGGUGAAGUCGUAACAAGGUAA
This 1479-nucleotide ribosomal RNA is filed under the name uncultured Bordetella sp. Its description in RNAcentral is "partial 16S-23S ribosomal RNA intergenic spacer". It matches the Rfam family "Bacterial small subunit ribosomal RNA". The record is from RNAcentral. Lineage: Bacteria; Pseudomonadati; Pseudomonadota; Betaproteobacteria; Burkholderiales; Alcaligenaceae.